GGGGCCGAUUGGUUUCGACGGUGAUCUGUUCGCCUUGGAGAAGCAUGCCGAGAAUGCAGGGUCCACUCGUGAUGUUCUCUGCAAUAAAAAUAAGUGCUAAAUCUAAUCGCACUGAGUUCGCUCUCGCUGCCUGAUUUUAAACGUAAUCAGAUUUAAUCCAGCGAGUUAGCACUCCAUCUGCUCUCCCGCGUCUUCGGGAGAGGUCAGGUGUCGUUAGGAGACUGACUUGUGAGAUUGAACUGCAGGGUCUCGCAAGGACAUUUUGCUGUGGCUAGGCUCGCCGCCAGUUGUCUGCGGCAUUGGCGGGGGCCGAAAAUACGCUCGUUCGAGUCAGCAGACUAAGCAUGUAGAAGGACGAGGGUACGGUCACCGGACCGGGGUUCAAUCCCCCGCGGCUCCACUU
RNAcentral lists this transfer-messenger RNA (403 nucleotides) under Bifidobacterium animalis. RNAcentral's name for it is "Standard tmRNA". It matches the Rfam family "transfer-messenger RNA". From Rfam's summary of the family: Bacterial tmRNA, also known as 10Sa RNA or SsrA, is named for its dual tRNA and mRNA-like properties. Its role is to liberate the mRNA from a stalled ribosome. The record is from RNAcentral. Lineage: Bacteria; Bacillati; Actinomycetota; Actinomycetes; Bifidobacteriales; Bifidobacteriaceae. RNAcentral also lists the same sequence under 1 other name.